GAACCAUCAAAAUCAACACUACCAAUCUACCUAAUCUUCUCCUUCCCACUGAUCCUAUCAGCAGCCUCCUUAAUCUUCUCAAUAUACCCAUCAAUAGGCGGUGUAAGCGUCGCCAUAAACCUAUUCACCGGAAAUGGAGUCAAAUCCGGCACCAAAGCAGCUUCCUUCAAACCCCCAGGCAAAGCUUCAAUAGCCUCCUUUUUCAUCAUCAAAAGAUUAGUCUCCGCCGCUUGUCUCGCCCUAUGCUUCCUCAUCAAAACCCUACUAUACUCCUUGGCCAAUUUCAUCCCAUCUUCCUUGGUCAAUUCAUACUUGGGCAAUUUCUCAGCAUCAACUAACCCUAACGUUAUAUAAUCUAACCCAGGUGUUCCCAUUAUCGUUGGCUUCUCAGAAACCCUAAAUUUGGCGUUUUUCUUCUUCAUCAUAUCAAGUUCAAUUUGACGAUCUUUGCUAAUUAACCCUAAUUUUCCUCGUUCAGCUUCGCGUGCACGUUGUUUGGGUUUGAGAAAACGAAGUGGUGUUGGUGCGUUGAGGCAUUGUUCGUAGAGGCGUUCGCGUUCUUGUUUCUCACGGGAUCCAGUUGGGGCACCAGGUGUGGGCUCGGCUCCGGUUUUUUUGACAGUGAUUUUGGAACGUUUUAGGAUUUGACCGGCUUUUCCUUUCCCUUUGGCGGUGCGGCUGACGGAGCAGCGUUGAAGGAAUUGGUGUGGAGAGGAUGAUGGUGGUGACGGUGGUUUUAGCUUUGUGAGGCGAAGCAUUGUUGAAACGGUGAAGUGCAGUUCUGUUUU
RNAcentral lists this long non-coding RNA (788 nucleotides) under Medicago truncatula (barrel medic). Its description in RNAcentral is "lncRNA gene45861". Lineage: Eukaryota; Viridiplantae; Streptophyta; Magnoliopsida; Fabales; Fabaceae. The record is from RNAcentral.